Molecule: small RNA, 122 nt
Filed under: Paenibacillus sp.
Lineage: Bacteria; Bacillati; Bacillota; Bacilli; Caryophanales; Paenibacillaceae
Description: Guanidine-I sequence
Rfam family: Guanidine-I riboswitch aptamer
About the family: This family represents a conserved RNA structure found upstream of the ykkC and yxkD genes in Bacillus subtilis and related genes in other bacteria. The function of this family is unclear although it has been suggested that it may function to switch on efflux pumps and detoxification systems in response to harmful environmental molecules.
Source: RNAcentral
GAAAAAGCUGUCUAGGGUUCCGUUGACGGGUAAACGUCAAGUCUGGUCCGAGAGACGGCGUAUGGCGGAAAGCUUAUUAAAGCAGCCGGCAUAUGACACGGAAGGACAAAAGCCUGGGAGAU